AUUGAACGCUGGCGGCAGGCCUAACACAUGCAAGUCGAACGGUAACAGGAAGCAGCUUGCUGCUUCGCUGACGAGUGGCGGACGGGUGAGUAAUGUCUGGGAAACUGCCUGAUGGAGGGGGAUAACUACUGGAAACGGUAGCUAAUACCGCAUAACGUCGCAAGACCAAAGAGGGGGACCUUAGGGCCUCUUGCCAUCGGAUGUGCCCAGAUGGGAUUAGCUAGUAGGUGGGGUAACGGCUCACCUAGGCGACGAUCCCUAGCUGGUCUGAGAGGAUGACCAGCCACACUGGAACUGAGACACGGUCCAGACUCCUACGGGAGGCAGCAGUGGGGAAUAUUGCACAAUGGGCGCAAGCCUGAUGCAGCCAUGCCGCGUGUAUGAAGAAGGCCUUCGGGUUGUAAAGUACUUUCAGCGGGGAGGAAGGGAGUAAAGUUAAUACCUUGGCUCAUUGACGUUACCCACAGAAGAAGCACCGGCUAACUCCGUG
This 490-nucleotide ribosomal RNA is filed under the name uncultured bacterium. RNAcentral describes it as "partial 16S ribosomal RNA". It matches the Rfam family "Bacterial small subunit ribosomal RNA", at positions 30 to 507 of the family's 1533-position model. The record is from RNAcentral.